RNAcentral lists this ribosomal RNA (445 nucleotides) under uncultured bacterium. RNAcentral's name for it is "partial 16S ribosomal RNA". It matches the Rfam family "Bacterial small subunit ribosomal RNA", at positions 354 to 796 of the family's 1533-position model. The record is from RNAcentral.
GUGAGGAAUAUUGCGCAAUGGAGGCAACUCUGACGCAGCCAUGCCGCGUGCAGGAAGAAGGCGCUACGCGUUGUAAACUGCUUUUAACCGGGAAGAAACCCCAGGACGUGUCCUGGGUUGACGGUACCGGAGGAAUAAGCACCGGCUAACUUCGUGCCAGCAGUCGCGGUAAUACGAAGGGUGCAAGCGUUAUCCGGAUUCAUUGGGUUUAAAGGGUGCGUAGGCGGAGCGUUAAGUCAGUGGUGAAAUCCUGCAGCUUAACUGUAGACUUGCCAUUGAUACUGGCGCUCUUGAGUGCGCUUGAAGUGGGCGGAAUGUGCCGUGUAGCGGUGAAAUGCUUAGAUAUGGCACAGAACACCAAUUGCGAAGGCAGCUCACUAAGGCGAUACUGACGCUGAGGCACGAAAGCGUGGGGAUCGAACAGGAUUAGAAACCCUGGUAGUCC